CGACCGGCGCACGGGCGAGUAACACGUAUCCAACCUGCCGAUAACUCGGGGAUAGCCUUUCGAAAGAAAGAUUAAUAUCCGAUAGCAUAUCAAUCCGGCAUGAGAUUGAUAUUAAAGAAUUUCGGUUAUCGAUGGGGAUGCGUUCCAUUAGUUUGUUGGCGGGGUAACGGCCCACCAAGACUACGAUGGAUAGGGGUUCUGAGAGGAAGGUCCCCCACAUUGGAACUGAGACACGGUCCAA
This 241-nucleotide ribosomal RNA is filed under the name uncultured bacterium. Its description in RNAcentral is "partial 16S ribosomal RNA". It matches the Rfam family "Bacterial small subunit ribosomal RNA", at positions 92 to 334 of the family's 1533-position model. The record is from RNAcentral.